This 609-nucleotide ribosomal RNA is filed under the name Trichoderma viride. Its description in RNAcentral is "partial 28S ribosomal RNA". Lineage: Eukaryota; Fungi; Ascomycota; Sordariomycetes; Hypocreales; Hypocreaceae. The record is from RNAcentral.
UUGACCUCGGAUCAGGUAGGAAUACCCGCUGAACUUAAGCAUAUCAAUAAGCGGAGGAAUUCUACUCCCCACCCCCAGGGGACGCAUCCCAAAACGGUGGCUCGGGGGGGGGGAGGCCCCGGGGGGGGGGGGACCCCGGAACCAAAGGCCCGCCGAAGGGACCAACCAAAAACAUUUUUUUAUUCCCUUGGGGGGGGUAUUUUUUUUUUUGUUUUUGCGGAAUUUCAAAUGAAUCAAAAAUUUCAACAACAAACCUUGGUUUUGGUUUUGCCGAGAAAACCACCGAAAAGAAUGAGAUAAGGGGGGUUGAGGGAUAAUCAGGAAUGGACAAGUUUAGUACGCAAUUGCGCCCCCAUAUGUCUGGGGGGAUGCUGUCGAAGACAUUCCACCUUAACGCGUCCUAGGUCGGCCGGUGUGGUCGGGAACACACAGAGGAACGGGGCCCAAAAACAAAUGGAGAUACGCUUUCCCCCCCCUCAAAUGGGGGUGAAAACUGAUCAGCGAGACGAAAGGGCCACGUCUUAACACCCACUGGGGGAGGGAUGACUCCGAUUCGGGUAGGUAUUCACCCUAAACUAAGCAUGUAUAUUUGAGACGCGGGAGAGAAAA